Molecule: ribosomal RNA, 434 nt
Filed under: uncultured bacterium
Lineage: Bacteria
Description: partial 16S ribosomal RNA
Rfam family: Bacterial small subunit ribosomal RNA
Source: RNAcentral
AGCGAACGCUGGCGGCAGGCCUAACACAUGCAAGUCGAACGAACCUUUCGGGGUUAGUGGCGGACGGGUGAGUAACACGUCGGAACGUGUCUUUAGGUUCGGAAGAACUCAGGGAAACUUGUGCUAAUACCGAAUGUGCCCCUCGGGGGAAAGAUUAAUCGCCCUUAGAGCGGCCUGCGUCCGAUUAGCCUGUUGCUUGAGGGUAUGCCUCACCAAGGCGACGAUCAUUAGCUGGGCUGAGAGGAUGAUCAGCCACAUUGGGAGCAUGACCCGGCCCAGACUCCUACGGGAGGCGGCAGUGGGGAAUCUUGCGCUAUCGGCGCAAGCCUGACGCAGCCGUGCCGGGUGAAUGAUGAAGGUCUUAGGAUUGUAAAAUUCUUUCACCCGGGACGAUAAUGACGGUACCCGGAGAAGAAGCCCCGGCUAACUUCGUG